AACGCUAGCUACAGGCUUAACACAUGCAAGUCGAGGGGCAGCAUGAACUUAGCUUGCUAAGUUUGAUGGCGACCGGCGCACGGGUGAGUAACACGUAUCCAACCUGCCGAUGACUCGGGGAUAGCCUUUCGAAAGAAAGAUUAAUACCCGAUGGCAUAGUUCUUCCGCAUGGUAGAACUAUUAAAGGAUUUCGGCCAUCGAUGGGGAUGCGUUCCAUUAGGUUGUUGGCGGGGUAACGGCCCACCAAGCCUUCGAUGGAUAGGGGUUCUGAGAGGAAGGUCCCCCACAUUGGAACUGAGACACGGUCCAAACUCCUACGGGAGGCAGCAGUGAGGAAUAUUGGUCAAUGGACGAGAGUCUGAACCAGCCAAGUAGCGUGAAGGAUGACUGCCCUAUGGGUUGUAAACUUCUUUUAUACGGGAAUAAAGUGAGGCACGUGUGCCUUUUUGUAUGUACCGUAUGAAUAAGGAUCGGCUAACUCCGUGCCAGCAGCCGCGGUAAUACGGAGGAUCCGAGCGUUAUCCGGAUUUAUUGGGUUUAAAGGGAGCGUAGGCGGACGCUUAAGUCAGCAGUGAAAUGUAGCGGCCCAACCGCUGCACUGCUGUUGGAACUGGCGCCCUUGAGUGCACACGAGGUAUGCGGAAUUUGUGGUGUAGCGGUGAAAUGCUUAGAUAUCACGAAGAACUCCGAUUG
Molecule: ribosomal RNA, 693 nt
Filed under: uncultured bacterium
Lineage: Bacteria
Description: bacterial SSU rRNA
Rfam family: Bacterial small subunit ribosomal RNA
Source: RNAcentral